Bombyx mori (domestic silkworm) is the source of this 1271-nucleotide long non-coding RNA. RefSeq lists it as uncharacterized. NCBI's taxonomy places the organism in Eukaryota, Metazoa, Arthropoda, Insecta, Lepidoptera, Bombycidae. The transcript is spliced from 2 exons. The record is from RefSeq and is a predicted model, not a curated record.
UUUACUAAAAUUCUUAACUUGAUGCUGUGUCGCUAACGGCCGUUUUCAAUAACCUAUCUAUCCCUAGUUUCGGUUACUAAAGAUAGACAAAUCUAUAUUUUUGUCCUUACUUACGUUCCAAUAACCUAUCGACGGGCAGCAGUUCCUAUCGGAUUUAUCUAUCCAUCGUCGGGAGGACGGAUAGCCUGCUAAAGAUAGAACGUUCAUACAAAUCGUGCUUACUUCCGUUUCAAUAUGAGUUUUAAGUAACUCUCCGGUAGGCAGCGCUAUCUCUAGUAUGGGCAUUCGCUUAUCUGUCAAAAUCGGCCGGUUACAUGUUUAUCUUUCGAAAGUAAAUCGCUAUAAUUUAAUAAUUGUUUCUCUUCAUAUUGGCAUAUUGUAGCAGUGAUGAUAGUGAUAUGGAAUUAUUUCAAAUGAUAAUGGAUUAUGAUGCAGAUAGUGAUAGUGAGGCCGAUAUCAUAUGGUUAGGAAAAUAAAGAUCGUCUGAAUUACAUGGCGAAGAUCAAUAAUUACGAAUUUGACUAUAGAUUUCUGAGCAAAGGUGUUGUGAAUGAAUUGAUUAAUUUAAUGAGACCAUAUUUGAGUGUAACGUCAAAAAGGUAAGAUAAAUUUUAACCAUAAAAGUACUCGUUAUUACAACUUAUAUUUGUUUAUAGCAAUAGCAAAAUUAUACCUAAUUUUUGUUGUGUUACAAAAUCACACUCAACAGGAAUUCUAUAAUACUGCUGGAUUCCCAUGGUGCCCUAAAUGACAUUCAUAUACUAAUACAAUAACCUGGUAGGCUAUUUACCUUCAUUCUUAUUACACACUGAUACCUCUACAUUUUAUAUUUGUGUUACAGAUUCAAAUAUAGGAGAGGAAUUUAGAAAUAGAAAAAGAGUAUUUUGAAUGUGCAAUUUGUGUGCAAUGCAUCAUUGAUGUUUCAAAAUGUUGUUGCUUGAUGGCCUGGGUCUACUCAUGAUACAACUAUAAUUAACCAUUCCGAUUGAAAAGAUGCAUUGGUAUUUGUAAAAGAAGACUCCCUGUAUAUCAUUGAAAAGUAGAUUAAAACUAGAAAAUAUGCAAGCUGUUAUUAUAGCUGCCAUGCUGCAUAAUAUCGUCAGAAGUAUGAAUUUAGAAGAAUUAGAAUUAGAAAUUUCAGUCGCAGAUACAUUACAGGAAAAUAAUAUAAUUGUUCGUAACAAUUUUUCAAAACUUACAUCUGAAAUACAACUAUGUACUUAUAAAUAAUUGCUUCCAAAGAUAAUUUAUAAAAUAAACUCCAAAGAUAA